CCGAGUUAUACAACUCAUCAACCCUGUGAACAUACCUAAACGUUGCUUCGGCGGGAACAGACGGCCCCGUAACACGGGCCGCCCCCGCCAGAGGGCCCCCCUAACUCUUGUUUCUAUAAUGUUUUUCUGAGUAACCAAGCAAAUGAAUUA
RNAcentral lists this unclassified non-coding RNA (150 nucleotides) under uncultured Nectria. RNAcentral describes it as "sequence contains ITS1". Lineage: Eukaryota; Fungi; Ascomycota; Sordariomycetes; Hypocreales; Nectriaceae. The record is from RNAcentral.